AACGCGAAGAACCUUACCUGGUCUUGACAUCCACGGAAGUUUUCAGAGAUGAGAAUGUGCCUUCGGGAACCGUGAGACAGGUGCUGCAUGGCUGUCGUCAGCUCGUGUUGUGAAAUGUUGGGUUAAGUCCCGCAACGAGCGCAACCCUUAUCCUUUGUUGCCAGCGGUCCGGCCGGGAACUCAAAGGAGACUGCCAGUGAUAAACUGGAGGAAGGUGGGGAUGACGUCAAGUCAUCAUGGCCCUUACGACCAGGGCUACACACGUGCUACAAUGGCGCAUACAAAGAGAAGCGACCUCGCGAGAGCAAGCGGACCUCAUAAAGUGCGUCGUAGUCCGGAUUGGAGUCUGCAACUCGACUCCAUGAAGUUCGGG
RNAcentral lists this ribosomal RNA (373 nucleotides) under uncultured bacterium. RNAcentral's name for it is "bacterial SSU rRNA". It matches the Rfam family "Bacterial small subunit ribosomal RNA", at positions 958 to 1327 of the family's 1533-position model. The record is from RNAcentral.